CUUACCACAUGCAAGUCGAACGAGAGAAGAGGAGCUUGCUUUUCUGAUCUAGUGGCGGACGGGUGAGUAACACGUGAGCAAUCUGCCUUUCAGAGGGGGAUACCGAUUGGAAACGAUCGUUAAUACCGCAUAACAUAAUUGAACCGCAUGAUUUGAUUAUCAAAGAUUUAUCGCUGAAAGAUGAGCUCGCGUCUGAUUAGCUAGUUGGUAAGGUAACGGCUUACCAAGGCGACGAUCAGUAGCCGGACUGAGAGGUUGAUCGGCCACAUUGGGACUGAGACACGGCCCAGACUCCUACGGGAGGCAGCAGUGGGGAAUAUUGCACAAUGGAGGAAACUCUGAUGCAGCGAUGCCGCGUGAGGGAAGAAGGUUUUAGGAUUGUAAACCUCUGUCUUCAGGGACGAAAAAAGACGGUACCUGAGGAGGAAGCUCCGGCUAACUACGUGCCAGCAGCCGCGGUAAUACGUAGGGAGCGAGCGUUGUCCGGAAUUACUGGGUGUAAAGGGAGCGUAGGCGGGAUCGCAAGUCAGAUGUGAAAACUAUGGGCUUAACCCAUAAACUGCAUUUGAAACUGUGGUUCUUGAGUGAAGUAGAGGUAAGCGGAAUUCCUAGUGUAGCGGUGAAAUGCGUAGAUAUUAGGAGGAACAUCAGUGGCGAAGGCGGCUUACUGGGCUUUAACUGACGCUGAGGCUCGAAAGCGUGGGGAGCAAACAGGAUUAGAUACCCUGGUAGUCCACGCCGUAAACGAUGAUUACUAGGUGUGGGGGGACUGACCCCUUCCGUGCCGCAGCAAACGCAAUAAGUAAUCCACCUGGGGAGUACGACCGCAAGGUUGAAACUCAAAGGAAUUGACGGGGGCCCGCACAAGCAGUGGAGUAUGUGGAUUAAUUCGAAGCAACGCGAAGAACCUUACCAGGUCUUGACAUCGUAUGCAUAGCUCAGAGAUGAGUGAAAUCUCUUCGGAGACAUAUAGACAGGUGGGGCAUGGUUGUCGUCAGCUCGUGUCGUGAGAUGUUGGGUUAAGUCCCGCAACGAGCGCAACCCUUACUGUUAGUUGCUACGCAAGAGCACUCUAGCAGGACUGCCGUUGACAAAACGGAGGAAGGUGGGGAUGACGUCAAAUCAUCAUGCCCCUUAUGACCUGGGCCUCACACGUACUACAAUGGCUGUCAACAGAGGGAAGCAAAGCCGCGAGGUGGAGCGAACCCCUAAAAGCAGUCUUAGUUCGGAUUGUAGGCUGCAACCCGCCUACAUGAAGUCGGAAUUGCUAGUAAUCGCAGAUCAGCAUGCUGCGGUGAAUACGUUCCCGGGCCUUGUACACACCGCCCGUCACGCCAUGGGAGUCGGUAACACCCGAAGCCUGUAGUCUAACCGCAAGGAGGACGCAGUCGAAGGUGGGAUUGAUGACUGGGGUGAAGUCGAAACAAGGUA
This 1431-nucleotide ribosomal RNA is filed under the name metagenome. RNAcentral's name for it is "bacterial SSU rRNA". It matches the Rfam family "Bacterial small subunit ribosomal RNA". The record is from RNAcentral.